RNAcentral lists this ribosomal RNA (351 nucleotides) under uncultured bacterium. RNAcentral describes it as "bacterial SSU rRNA". It matches the Rfam family "Bacterial small subunit ribosomal RNA", at positions 917 to 1267 of the family's 1533-position model. The record is from RNAcentral.
GGGCCCGCACAAGCGGUGAGGCAUGCGGUUUAAUUCGAUGCAACGCGAAAAAACCUUACCUACCCUUGACAUCCUCGGAAUUCUCUAGAGAUAGAGAAGUGCCUUCGGGAACCGAGUGACAGGUGCUGCAUGGCUGUCGUCAGCUCGUGUCGUGAGAUGUUAGGUUAAGUCCUGUAACGAGCGCAACCCCUAUUCUUAGUUACCAGCACAUCAUGGUGGGUACUCUAAGAAAACUGCCGGUGUCAAACCGGAGGAAGGUGGGGACGAGGUCAAGUCAUCAUGGCCCUUACGGUAGGGCUACACGCGUGCUACAAUGGACAGUACAAUGGGAAGCAAUAUCGCGAGAUGGAG